UGUUGUUUCAUCCUCUUGGUUAUGAUUGGCUGCUGGCCUCAGCUUGUACACUUGUACUUGUACAGUUUUUGGACCCCUCAUUGUUCUGUGGGGACUGUAGGCGGUCUGGGAGAAGGACCUCGACGGUGAAGCUGAUUCUUUUGGCCUGGAAGAUGCUGUCAGUGAUCCGUCCUCGGGUACUAAGUGGGAGUUGUAACGCUGGCUGUGGACGACUUCCUGCAUCUGACCUGCCUUCUUCCACUCGCCCAUUUUAGCCUUCAGAAACACCCCAAAGCCAAUGUCUGCACUCUCAGUGGCAAACUGCCACCUACCGAGAUGGGAAAGAAAAAAGAUUUUCAAUUUAAUUUAAAGUUGCUUUUCUGACUUUUUCUGUGGAUUUCAGUUUAUUGUUUUUGAAAGAAUAACAGUUGAAGCACUUAAAAAAACAGUAAUUUCAUAAAUUCAUUGGGCUAGGUCUGCCAUUACCACAACAAAGAAUGUGACAUUACUCUGCCUUAUGCAAAAAUAAAUGUAUGUAUGAAUAA
Molecule: long non-coding RNA, 524 nt
Organism: Sebastes umbrosus (honeycomb rockfish)
Lineage: Eukaryota; Metazoa; Chordata; Actinopteri; Perciformes; Sebastidae
Exons: 2
Source: RefSeq, a predicted model, not a curated record